This is a small nuclear RNA of Microtus ochrogaster (prairie vole), 137 nucleotides long. Its record names the gene U1. It matches the Rfam family "U1 spliceosomal RNA". From Rfam's summary of the family: U1 is a small nuclear RNA (snRNA) component of the spliceosome (involved in pre-mRNA splicing). Its 5' end forms complementary base pairs with the 5' splice junction, thus defining the 5' donor site of an intron. Lineage: Eukaryota; Metazoa; Chordata; Mammalia; Rodentia; Cricetidae. The record is from Ensembl.
AUCCUUACCUUCCAGAGGAGACAUCAAGGCCAUGGAGAUGUUUUCUUCAGGGCGAGGCUCACCCACUGCACUUGGGGUGUGCUGACCCCUGCGAUUUCCAAAAAUGCAGCACAUCUCCCCUAGAGUGGAAAAUUAAA